Molecule: ribosomal RNA, 157 nt
Filed under: uncultured bacterium
Lineage: Bacteria
Description: partial 16S ribosomal RNA
Rfam family: Bacterial small subunit ribosomal RNA
Source: RNAcentral
CCUACGGGAGGCAGCAGUGGGGAAUAUUGGGCAAUGGAGGAAACUCUGACCCAGCGACGCCGCGUGCGGGAUGAAGGCCUUCGGGUUGUAAACCGCUUUCAGUAGGGAAGAAGCGAAAGUGACGGUACCUACAGAAGAAGCACCGGCUAACUAUGUG